RNAcentral lists this small RNA (322 nucleotides) under Pongo abelii (Sumatran orangutan). Its description in RNAcentral is "processed transcript". The record is from RNAcentral. Lineage: Eukaryota; Metazoa; Chordata; Mammalia; Primates; Hominidae.
GCGUGGCUCAAACCACUGCCGCUAAGAACAAAUGUUGGCUUUGGCUUCGUUGCAAAGCAGCCGCUCAGUGGCCGUACGACGCUUCAUCUCUCCGAGCCUCGGCUUCCUCAUCUCCAGCCCUAAAAUGACGACACGGCCCACAGGUCUUGUGAGGAUUAAGUGAGGGGACGUGAUGUGGUCAUCGGUGUCCUGCUCGUGGUCAUUGGUGAGGAGCCCAGCCUGCAGUCAGGCCUUCUGCCUCGGCACCUGCGGCCGGCAGAAAGGCCCCACGUGUUCCCUGGGCCAUGCUGCAUUGCUGCAUGCAGCUUCGCAACCACAUGCU